This 843-nucleotide ribosomal RNA is filed under the name Dothideomycetes sp. genotype 812 JMUR-2016. RNAcentral describes it as "eukaryotic LSU rRNA". The record is from RNAcentral. Lineage: Eukaryota; Fungi; Ascomycota; Dothideomycetes.
GAGUAUAAAGUUAAUUUAAUAAAACUUUCAACAACGGAUCUCUUGGUUCUGGCAUCGAUGAAGAACGCAGCGAAAUGCGAUAAGUAAUGUGAAUUGCAGAAUUCAGUGAAUCAUCGAAUCUUUGAACGCACAUUGCGCCCCCUGGUAUUCCGGGGGGCAUGCCUGUUCGAGCGUCAUUUCACCACUCAAGCCUCGCUUGGUAUUGGGCGUCGCGAGUCUCUCGCGCGCCUUAAAGUCUCCGGCUGUUUGACCCGUCUCCCAGCGUUGUGGCAACUAUCUCGCAGUGGAGUUCGAGUCGGAUUGGCCGUUAAAUCUUUCAAAGGUUGACCUCGGAUCAGGUAGGGAUACCCGCUGAACUUAAGCAUAUCAAUAAGCGGAGGAAAAGAAACCAACAGGGAUUGCCCUAGUAACGGCGAGUGAAGCGGCAACAGCUCAAAUUUGAAAUCUGGCGCAAGCCCGAGUUGUAAUUUGUAGAGGAUGCUUCUAGGUAGCGACCGGUCUAAGUUCCUUGGAACAGGACGUCAUAGAGGGUGAGAAUCCCGUAUGUGACCGGCCCGCACCUUCUACGUAGCUCCUUCGACGAGUCGAGUUGUUUGGGAAUGCAGCUCUAAAUGGGAGGUAAAUUUCUUCUAAAGCUAAAUACCGGCCAGAGACCGAUAGCGCACAAGUAGAGUGAUCGAAAGAUGAAAAGCACUUUGGAAAGAGAGUUAAAAAGCACGUGAAAUUGUUGAAAGGGAAGCGCUCACAACCAGACUUYUAGGCAGUGUUCCGCCGGUCUUUUGACCGGUCUACUCUCUGUCUCGAGGCCAACAUCAUCUGGGACCGCCGGAUAAGACCUUAGGA